CCUACGGGCGGCAGCAGUGGGGAAUAUUGCACAAUGGGCGCAAGCCUGAUGCAGCCAUGCCGCGUGUGUGAAGAAGGCCUUCGGGUUGUAAAGCACUUUCAGCGGGGAGGAAGGCGUUAAGGUUAAUAACCUUGUCGAUUGACGUUACCCGCAGAAGAAGCACCGGCUAACUCCGUGCCAGCAGCCGCGGUAAUACGGAGGGUGCAAGCGUUAAUCGGAAUUACUGGGCGUAAAGCGCACGCAGGCGGUCUGUCAAGUCGGAUGUGAAAUCCCCGGGCUCAACCUGGGAACUGCAUUCGAAACUAGCAGGCUAGAGUCUUGUAGAGGGGGGUAGAAUUCCAGGUGUAGCGGUGAAAUGCGUAGAGAUCUGGAGGAAUACCGGUGGCGAAGGCGGCCCCCUGGACAAAGACUGACGCUCAGGUGCGAAAGCGUGGGGAGCAAACAGGAUUAGAUACCCGAGUAGUC
This 465-nucleotide ribosomal RNA is filed under the name uncultured Klebsiella sp. RNAcentral's name for it is "bacterial SSU rRNA". It matches the Rfam family "Bacterial small subunit ribosomal RNA", at positions 338 to 795 of the family's 1533-position model. The record is from RNAcentral. Lineage: Bacteria; Pseudomonadati; Pseudomonadota; Gammaproteobacteria; Enterobacterales; Enterobacteriaceae.